RNAcentral lists this unclassified non-coding RNA (214 nucleotides) under Hevea brasiliensis (rubber tree). Lineage: Eukaryota; Viridiplantae; Streptophyta; Magnoliopsida; Malpighiales; Euphorbiaceae. The record is from RNAcentral.
CGGUGACACCACCCAUAAAGCCACCAUCACCACCAACUGAAACACCAUGCCCUCCUCCUCCACCACCUCCGGCGCCAUGUCCACCUCCACCGCCGAAGCAAGAGACUUGCCCCGUUGACACUCUCAAGCUAGGAGCAUGUGUUGAUGUCCUAGGUGGUCUAGUGCACAUUGGUAUUGGCAGUAGCGCUAAGGACGCUUGCUGUCCAGUGCUUCA